This 492-nucleotide ribosomal RNA is filed under the name uncultured bacterium. RNAcentral's name for it is "partial 16S ribosomal RNA". It matches the Rfam family "Bacterial small subunit ribosomal RNA", at positions 29 to 507 of the family's 1533-position model. The record is from RNAcentral.
AGUGAACGCUGGCGGUAGGCCUAACACAUGCAAGUCGAACGGCAGCACAGUAAGAGCUUGCUCUUACGGGUGGCGGGUGGCGGACGGGUGAGGAAUACAUCGGAAUCUACUUUUUCGUGGGGGAUAAGGUAGGGAAACUUACGCUAAUACCGCAUACGGCCUACGGGUGGAAGCAGGGGAUCUUCGGACCUUGCGCGAUUGAAUGAGCCGAUGUCGGAUUAGCUAGUUGGCGGGGUAAAGGCCCACCAAGGCGACGAUCCGUAGCUGGUCUGAGAGGAUGAUCAGCCACACUGGAACUGAGACACGGUCCAGACUCCUACGGGAGGCAGCAGUGGGGAAUAUUGGACAAUGGGCGCAAGCCUGAUCCAGCCAUACCGCGUGGGUGAAGAAGGCCUUCGGGUUGUAAAGCCCUUUUGUUGGGAAAGAAAAGCAGCAGGUUAAUACCCCGCUGUUCUGACGGUACCCAAAGAAUAAGCACCGGCUAACUUCGUG